Molecule: long non-coding RNA, 1162 nt
Filed under: Oryza sativa Indica Group (long-grained rice)
Lineage: Eukaryota; Viridiplantae; Streptophyta; Magnoliopsida; Poales; Poaceae
Description: lncRNA OsMH63_01G011510
Source: RNAcentral
AUGGACAACCUCCCUGCUUCGAGCACCCCACGCCUCCACUUCGUCGCCGCCUUGAACCACCCCUCUUCCUUCCCAGGUGGCUCGUCGCCACUGCCAUCCCCCAGCCAAUGUCAUCGCCGGCUCGCCAAUAGGCCCACCACCGUGCGCCUUAGCCCACCACCAUCGCCUCGUCUCGUGUCGCCAUCUCCCCUCAACACAGUGCGCUGUGGCUGCUACACAUUAACUCCGCUCGACAUCGCCGCCUGCCCACCGCUGUCGGUGCUGUCGAUUUGUCGUCAUCCUCAACUCUGCAUCUUCGCCAUAAGGAAGGCAAUGCAAUGGAUGGGGAUAUUGGCGGUUUCCUGUGGACAAAGGGGAAAGAUGGUAGCGACAAUAGCGGUGGUUUCCUGCGGACAAAGGGGGAGAGAUGGUAGCGACAACGGCUGGCAGCACGAGCUUGAGUCGCCUGACAGUUGCUUGCCUUCCUCUGGAUUGUGCACACAAGAACUGUUGGCCAGGUUCUCCCUCCAUUUUAGCUUAAACUCAAUUGGUGAUGAUGAACAACCCACAACCAUGGAGAUCAACUAUUAUUACUAUAAGCGUAAGGGGGCAUGUGCCCCCAUCUGUGCUCCGCUCCGUUGCAUCGUUGCAACGACGGUGCGGAGAGGGCAAGAUAAAAGAGGUGCUAAUAGUCGCGGUUGGUCGCGUUGUGCUCAUCUACAAAGAAUCGUGCGUAUGCAUGUCUUGAUGGAUAUGCUUACCGACCUUAUGGAGAUUUGUCUUUGUGGAUAUAUGGUUUGCGGUGCUUUCGGGUUGCUGGAUUUGUCUUACAGAGAUGUCUCGGUGGAUAUGUGGUUCUCCCUCCACUUUAGUUUAAGCUCCAUUGGUGAUGAUGAGCAACCCACAACCAUGGAGAUCAACUAUUAUUACUAUAAGCGUAAGGGGGCAUGUGCCCCCAUUGCCUCCUUGUGGGCUUCGCUCCAUUACAUCGUUGCAACGACGGUGCGGAGAGGGCAGGAUAGAAGAGGCGCUACUCGUAGCAGUUGGUCGCGCUGUGCUCGUCUACAAAGAAUCAUGCGUAGGUAUGUCUUGGUGGAUAUAUGGUUUGCGGUGUUUUGGAGAUGCUGGAGUUGCUCGGUGGAUAUGUGGUUUGAGGUGCUUUGGAGUUCCUGAGUUGCUCCUU